RNAcentral lists this RNase P RNA (316 nucleotides) under Campylobacteraceae bacterium. RNAcentral describes it as "RNase P RNA component class A". It matches the Rfam family "Bacterial RNase P class A". From Rfam's summary of the family: Ribonuclease P (RNase P) is a ubiquitous endoribonuclease, found in archaea, bacteria and eukarya as well as chloroplasts and mitochondria. Lineage: Bacteria; Pseudomonadati; Campylobacterota; Epsilonproteobacteria; Campylobacterales; Campylobacteraceae. The record is from RNAcentral.
UUGGCAUAGCUGGUGGUUGCUUGAAUUUCAAGAGGAAAGUCCGAGCUGCUAUGAAACAAAGUUCCAUCUAACAGAUGGCCAGGGCAACCUGAGGGAAAGUGCAACAGAGAGAAGUCAGCCUUAAAGGUGAUGGUGAAAGGGUGGAGUAAGAGCCCACCAGUAUCAAAGGUAACUUUGAUAGCUAUGUAAACCCAGCUUGCAGCAAGAAGGGAUGGUUUUGUUUCAUGUUUGAACCCUUCGCUUGAGCAUCUUGGUAACAUGGUGCCUAGAUAAAUAGCCACCCACGACAGAACUCGGCUUACGCUAUGCCAAUUUC